UCGGCCUACGGGGCGCAGCAGUCGGGAAUAUUGCGCAAUGGAGGAAACUCUGACGCAGUGACGCCGCGUAUAGGACGAAGGUCUUCGGAUUGUAAACUAUUGUCGUUAGGGAAGAGAAAGGACAGUACCUAAGGAGGAAGCUCCGGCUAACUACGUGCCAGCAGCCGCGGUAAUACGUAGGGAGCAAGCGUUAUCCGGAUUUAUUGGGUUUAAAGGGUGCGUAGGCGGUUUUUAAGUUAGUGGUUAAACGUCGGGGCUUCACCUUGAUUUGCCAUUAAUA
Molecule: ribosomal RNA, 280 nt
Filed under: uncultured bacterium
Lineage: Bacteria
Description: partial 16S ribosomal RNA
Rfam family: Bacterial small subunit ribosomal RNA
Source: RNAcentral